RNAcentral lists this long non-coding RNA (599 nucleotides) under Phasianus colchicus (ring-necked pheasant). RNAcentral's name for it is "lncRNA (ENSPCLG00000022035.1)". The record is from RNAcentral. Lineage: Eukaryota; Metazoa; Chordata; Aves; Galliformes; Phasianidae.
CCCAUAGGGCACCCAGAAUCACCCAUAGGAUUCCCAUUACGACCCAUAGGUCUGCCAGUAUGACCCAUAGGGCACCCAUUAUCACCCACAGGCCACCCACUGGCACCCAUAGGCACCCAGUAUCACCCAUAGACCCCCAUUAUCACCCACAGGAUUCCCAUUAUCACCCACAGGGCACCCAGUAUCACCCACAGGACUCCCAUUACGACCCAUAGGACACCCAGUAUAACCCACAGGUCACCCAGUAUCACCCAUAGGACACCCUUUAUCACCCACAGGACUCCCAGUAUCACCCAUAGGUCACCCAGUAUCACACACAGGACUCCCAGUAUGACCCAGAAAGCACCCAUUAUCACCCAUAGGGCACCCAGUAUCACCCAUAGGCACCUAGUAUCGCCCAUAGGACUCCCAUUAUCACCCAUUAGGACACCCAGUCUCACCCAUAGGCACCCAGUAUCACCCAUAGGACUCCCCGUAUCACCCAUAGGGCACCCAGUAUCACCCAUACGACUCCCAUUAUCACCCAUUAGGACACCCAGUAUCACCCACAGGACACCCAGUAUCACCCACAGGGCACCCAGUCUCACCCUCAGGGCACC